GCUCAGGUACUUAGUGACUCUCAAUCACAUAUUGCUUUGCAUACUUUGAGGGUCGCUCUGUGCCUGUGCCG
Drosophila mojavensis is the source of this 71-nucleotide non-coding RNA. The record is from Rfam. Lineage: Eukaryota; Metazoa; Arthropoda; Insecta; Diptera; Drosophilidae.